RNAcentral lists this ribosomal RNA (492 nucleotides) under uncultured bacterium. Its description in RNAcentral is "partial 16S ribosomal RNA". It matches the Rfam family "Bacterial small subunit ribosomal RNA", at positions 28 to 502 of the family's 1533-position model. The record is from RNAcentral.
GAUGAACGCUGGCGGCGUGCCUAAUACAUGCAAGUCGAGCGAACAGACGAGGAGCUUGCUCCUCUGACGUUAGCGGCGGACGGGUGAGUAACACGUGGAUAACCUACCUAUAAGACUGGGAUAACUUCGGGAAACCGGAGCUAAUACCGGAUAAUAUAUUGAACCGCAUGGUUCAAUAGUGAAAGACGGUUUUGCUGUCACUUAUAGAUGGAUCCGCGCCGCAUUAGCUAGUUGGUAAGGUAACGGCUUACCAAGGCAACGAUGCGUAGCCGACCUGAGAGGGUGAUCGGCCACACUGGAACUGAGACACGGUCCAGACUCCUACGGGAGGCAGCAGUAGGGAAUCUUCCGCAAUGGGCGAAAGCCUGACGGAGCCACGCCGCGUGAGUGAUGAAGGUCUUCGGAUCGUAAAACUCUGUUAUUAGGGAAGAACAAAUGUGUAAGUAACUAUGCACGUCUUGACGGUACCUAAUCAGAAAGCCACGGCUAACU